This 496-nucleotide ribosomal RNA is filed under the name uncultured bacterium. Its description in RNAcentral is "partial 16S ribosomal RNA". It matches the Rfam family "Bacterial small subunit ribosomal RNA", at positions 29 to 507 of the family's 1533-position model. The record is from RNAcentral.
AUGAACGCUGGCGGCGCGCCUAAUACAUGCAAGUCGAGCGAACAGACGAGGAGCUUGCUCCUCUGACGUUAGCGGCGGACGGGUGAGUAACACGUGGAUAACCUACCUAUAAGACUGGGAUAACUUCGGGAAACCGGAGCUAAUACCGGAUAAUAUAUUGAACCGCAUGGUUCAAUAGUGAAAGACGGUUUUGCUGUCACUUAUAGAUGGAUCCGCGCCGCAUUAGCUAGUUGGUAAGGUAACGGCUUACCAAGGCGACGAUGCGUAGCCGACCUGAGAGGGUGAUCGGCCACACUGGAACUGAGACACGGUCCAGACUCCUACGGGAGGCAGCAGUAGGGAAUCUUCCGCAAUGGGCGAAAGCCUGACGGAGCAACGCCGCGUGAGUGAUGAAGGUCUUCGGAUCGUAAAACUCUGUUAUUAGGGAAGAACAAAUGUGUAAGUAACUAUGCACGUCUUGACGGUACCUAAUCAGAAAGCCACGGCUAACUACGUG